CUCUUGACAUACCAAAGAACUUUCCAAGAUCGGAUUGGUGCCUUCAGGAACUCUGAGACAGGUGCUGCAUGGCUGUCGUCAGCUCGUGUCGUGAAAUGUUGGGUUAAGUCCCGCAACGAGCGCAACCCUUAUCCUUGUUUGCCAGCGAGUAAUGUCGGGAACUCCAGGGAGACUGCCGGUGAUAAACCGGAGGAAGGUGGGGACGACGUCAAGUCAUCAUGGCCCUUACGAGUAGGGCUACACACGUGCUACAAUGGCGCAUACAGAGGGCGGCCAACUUGCGAAAGUGAGCGAAUCCCAAAAAGUGCGUCGUAUCCGGAUUGGAGUCUGCAACUCGACUCCAUGGAGUCGGAAUCGCUAGUAAUCG
This 367-nucleotide ribosomal RNA is filed under the name Vibrio natriegens. RNAcentral's name for it is "bacterial SSU rRNA". It matches the Rfam family "Bacterial small subunit ribosomal RNA", at positions 978 to 1344 of the family's 1533-position model. Lineage: Bacteria; Pseudomonadati; Pseudomonadota; Gammaproteobacteria; Vibrionales; Vibrionaceae. The record is from RNAcentral.